CUACGGGUUGCUGCAGUGGGGAAUAUUGGACAAUGGGGGAAACCCUGAUCCAGCAAUGCCGCGUGUGUGAAGAAGGCCUGCGGGUUGUAAAGCACUUUCGGUUGGGAGGACUGCUUCUAGCACUAAUAUUGUUGGAAGUUGACGUUACCUUCAGAAGAAGCACCGGCUAACUCCGUGCCAGCAGCCGCGGUAAUACGGAGGGUGCAAGCGUUAAUCGGAAUUACUGGGCGUAAAGCGCGCGUAGGCGGCUAGAUCAGUCGGGUGUGAAAGCCCCGGGCUUAACCUGGGAACUGCAUCCGAUACUGUCUAGCUUGAGUACAGGAGAGGAGAGUGGAAUUCCACAUGUAGCGGUGAAAUGCGUAGAUAUGUGGAGGAACACCAAUGGCGAAGGCAGCUCUCUGGCCUGAUACUGACGCUGAGGUGCGAAAGCGCGGGGAGCAAACAGGAUUAGAUACCCUUGUACUC
RNAcentral lists this ribosomal RNA (465 nucleotides) under uncultured bacterium. RNAcentral's name for it is "partial 16S ribosomal RNA". It matches the Rfam family "Bacterial small subunit ribosomal RNA", at positions 339 to 795 of the family's 1533-position model. The record is from RNAcentral.